GGCAAACCCCCCUGUGCAAGUUACCUUAUCUGUGCCUGUUGGCUAUUCUUUGGUUUGAAAGAAUUCUUCCAAGGAUCCACCCUAACUGCCUGCCUGACUCGUUUCUUCCUUUCCCCUCUCAGUAAGCUACAUUCAGCUUUUUAACUCCACUAAUUGCUUGCUGAUUGCUGUAUUAUUUUCAACAAUUCCAUGAAGCCUGAGUAGCUCUACAAACAAAUCCUAUCAAAUUGUGGCUACUUUGAAGGAACUGUUUCGGAGAUGUUUCCUAUUAUCCUUGAUAAUGUGCCAUGAACAUAUGAAAAAACAUAGAAACAUGAAGAAAACAAGAAGACAAAAAUCACUAACAUCUGGUUGGCUGUAUAGAAACAAAGCUGAUUCUGGCUUGCAAAUGGAUCUUACAGACGUUGUCACAGAGACAAGAAAAGCAUAUAAAAAAAUAAAUAAAGAUGAGCUCCUUUCAAGGUGACUGACUAGAAGCAGCUGGUGUGUGCUGCUCUCACAAAGAGAAGAAAGAGUGGUGAGUGGACCAUCCAGGUGGACACAUUGGGAUUCAUCAAGGAAACAAUACACAGAAAACAGAAGAAUGAGACAGGACAAUCAUUCACCCAGAAGUGGCAUAGAGCCGGGAGAUGGCCCUCACCAUGGUUAGUAAGUGAGAGUCCCCAGGGAGUCACAUUUCUGCCACAGACCUUUGCAACCCUGGGCCCAGGCGAUCCCCCAUGACACCCGUGCCCCACCAGGGCCUCUGGACUGACAUAGACAGCUACAUGGAGUGUGGGCAGAACUGCCACUCAGGCACUCAUGAAAUCCUUGGAGCUUUUCAUCCCCAGGCACCCUGGUACCAAUGGCUGCAGCUGCGGCAAUGGGGGAGGACAGGCUCUCUUGCAUGUCCUCAGAAUAGGAACACAAUCCAUGGGGCUAAGCAGUGGGUGGACUGUGGGGCUCUUCUACACAGCCCGUUGCCAGACUGGCCUGGGAUCCUAGCAUGGUCACAAAAGUCCCACCUGGGCUCUUGAGGAACAGAUCUGUACUUCCCUGGCAUGGAACUCCUGGAGGGGAUGGGCAGGCUGCUGUUUUUGCUGCUCCACAGCCCUCACUCCUGUUGCCCUCAGUCUUGGGAGUGAGCACAGUGAUUGGGGACUAACAUAGACCCCCAGCACAGUGUACAGACUUGCAGAAAAGCAGCCAGACUCUUUUCCACAUGGGUCCUCACCCCUGCUACUCUUCACUGGGCAGCACCUCUUGACCUUGGCCCCCAGCACAACCAACCCGCCCCCACAUGAACGCUUUGUCAGUGAUGGCUCUGUGUUUCUCUGAGGAGAAAAAUCCAAAAGACAAUCCAUAAGCCUUCUGCUAUUGCAGCUGCAGUGGUAUGGCCCUUACUACCUUCAGGCUGGGGAAAGAACGAAGGACUUGGUCCUUACACUGGCCCCUCCAGCACACCAUCGCCACCAUAUGGAGAAGAGCCCAGUCUCUCUUCCCCGUAAGCCCCCACUCACCACUGUUCACCAGGCAAGGCCCCUAGUUGGGGACAGCAGAGCAGCUGUCCUACCCCCGGAUGAGAAUUCCCACUGCUAUUGGCUCUAUAUUUUCCUGAGGUGGGCCUCCCAGAAGCAAUUGACAUCCCCUCUGUCACUGUCAUGGCAGCAGUUCUGCCCUUACUGCACUCAGACUGGGGAAAGAACAAACAGCCUGAGGUCUUCACUCACACUCCUAGCACAACACAGUCAUGAUAUGGAGAGGAGCCCAGUUGUUCCUCCUGGUGAGCCCUUGACCUCCUACUUUUCAUCAAGUGAAGCCUCCAGCUUGGGCUAGCAGCGUAGCCACCCCACCCACUGGCUGAACAUUCUCAGUAGCAAUGGCUUGCGUUUCUCUGAAGUAGGGCUCCCAGGGACAACGGAAAGCACCUCUCCCACUGCCACUGCAGCGGUACUGCCUUGCUGCCCUUGGACUGGGGAAGGGGCAGAGACCUUGAGUGCUUAACCCACAUGUCCAGGAAGUGACAGCUGCCCUAAGGAGAGGAGGCCAGUCUGUCUCCUCUGUGAGACCCCUGCCACCCUUGCGCAUCACCAGGCAGGGCCUCCAGGCAUGGGUUCACAAUGUAGCUGCCCCAAUCCCAAGCCCAUCUCUCCAAUUAGUAGUGGCUCUGCAUUUCUCUAGGGUGGAGCCCCAAGAGACAAGUGAAAGGCCCUCUGCCACAGCAACUGCCAAGGUCCCUUCCCCUGUUGCCUUCAAGCUGGGGAGGGAAAAUAAAGCCUUAGCUCGCCCCUAGCAGCAGUGUGCAGCCCAGGAGUGCCAAGGCCAGACCUUAAGCCAGCACUGGAGUGGGAAAGGGAGCCCACACUUUCAGAGCACUGAGAGGGAGCAUGGCUGCAAUCAUGAAGAAAUACAGAGGAGCCACGUGGUGGAGCAAGAGCCCACCUACUGGCCAUUACACUUCAGUGCCAUCUACUGGAUCAUAGCCCAAACUCCAACUCCAAAAAUGCUUGCUAAUAUACCCCCCUCUGUGAAAACAACGACAAGAUUUCAACAACAAAGACCCUGCACAAAACCUCGGCCCUCAAAAAACAUUCAAAAAAGGAGUCUGCACUCAAUUACACCACAGUUAAAGGAGCAUCAGCCCACACAGAUGAGAAAAAACUGGUGCAAGAGCUCUAACAACUAAACUACAGUGUUUUCUUUCCUCCAAAUAACUGUACUAGUUCCCAAGGAAGGGUUCUUAACCAGGCAGAAAGGGUGGAAAUGACAGAGAGAGAAUUCAAAAUAUGGAUAGGAAUAAAGGUCAUCAAGAUUCAGGAGAAAGUCAAAACCCAAUCCAAGGAAUCUAACAAUUACAAUAAAACAAUACAGGAGUUGAAAGACAAAAUGGCCAUUAUAAGAAAGAAC
RNAcentral lists this long non-coding RNA (2886 nucleotides) under Homo sapiens (human). RNAcentral describes it as "non-protein coding LINC02334:10". Lineage: Eukaryota; Metazoa; Chordata; Mammalia; Primates; Hominidae. The record is from RNAcentral.